GAUGAAGAACGCAGCGAAAUGCGAUAAGUAAUGUGAAUUGCAGAAUUCAGUGAAUCAUCGAAUCUUUGAACGCAUCUUGCGCUCCUUGGUAUUCUGAGGAGCAUGCCUGUUUGAGUGUCAUUAAAUUCUCAACUACACUGACUUUGAAUUGGUGUGGCUUGGAUUUGGGGGGAAAAUUGUUGUGGGCUUUUUGUAUAGUCUGCUCCCCUGAAAUUGAUUAGCGGUACCUUUGUGGAACUGUCUACAUGUGUGAUAAUUAUCUACAUCUUAGACAUCUGCUGGAAUGCUGCUUUCUAAACCUUACUUGUAUUGACAAUCUUGACCUCAAAUCAGGUAGGACUACCCGCUGAACUUAAGCAUAUCAAUAAGCGGAGGA
RNAcentral lists this unclassified non-coding RNA (376 nucleotides) under soil metagenome. Its description in RNAcentral is "partial contains 5.8S ribosomal RNA, internal transcribed spacer 2, and large subunit ribosomal RNA". The stretch from base 1 to 120 matches the Rfam family "5.8S ribosomal RNA", at positions 35 to 154 of the family's 154-position model. The record is from RNAcentral.